GGGGUUGUGGCUCAGUGGUAGAGCGCUCACCUCGAACGUGCGGGACCCUGGGUUUGAUCCUCAGUACCA
RNAcentral lists this transfer RNA (69 nucleotides) under Ictidomys tridecemlineatus (thirteen-lined ground squirrel). RNAcentral describes it as "Spermophilus tridecemlineatus (thirteen-lined ground squirrel) tRNA". It matches the Rfam family "tRNA". Rfam says of the family: Transfer RNA (tRNA) molecules are approximately 80 nucleotides in length. Their secondary structure includes four short double-helical elements and three loops (D, anti-codon, and T loops). Further hydrogen bonds mediate the characteristic L-shaped molecular structure. tRNAs have two regions of fundamental functional importance: the anti-codon, which is responsible for specific mRNA codon recognition, and the 3' end, to which the tRNAs corresponding amino acid is attached (by aminoacyl-tRNA synthetases). tRNAs cope with the degeneracy of the genetic code in two manners: having more than one tRNA (with a specific anti-codon) for a particular amino acid; and 'wobble' base-pairing, i.e. permitting non-standard base-pairing at the 3rd anti-codon position. Lineage: Eukaryota; Metazoa; Chordata; Mammalia; Rodentia; Sciuridae. The record is from Rfam by way of RNAcentral.